AGCAAAAAUUUAUCCCAAGCGCGUCUAUAUGUGCGCGGUCUAGCACGCAUUUGGAGUUUCUCGGCCUGUCUAGUAAGCAGGAAGAAAGUCAUGAUUCCAGGUGAGAAAAACACAAUGGAAAAAGAUCUGGUGGAAGAGCUUAAACGCGUAUAAAAACAAAUUCAGGGUUCCUGAUAUAAAACAUAAAUCCGGAUUAUAGAAAAAAGUGCCGAGAAAAAAAUUAGAAUGAAAAUAUAGGAAACUCUUGAAAACGACUUCUUUUUUUCUCUCCAUACUAAUUUAGGAGUUGGCAAAUAUAAUAUUUUAGGUAACAAAAUAUGAGGAUCUCUUGGAAAUACUCUAAUAUCCUCUAAUCAUGCGAGGCAUGGGUGGACAUGCAGCCCCUUCCUUGCGCAUAGCUGCAUCCUUUCUUUUGUGCGGUUGUCGUCACAUCCUUCUUUUUUCUUUUUUUUUGUUUCCAUGGCUAAACUAAAAUGACAACUAUUAUUCUCAUGUCAUGAUAUGUAUAAACCUACCAUAUUAUAUGAUUACAACUGUACACCAAUAAUAAUAGGUACCAGAAAUAAAUUUUUAACAGGUUCAUCAUGUAUAAAGCUUGAUGAUAUUUUAUGUUAAAAUUAAAAAUCAGACAUAUUGCAUACAUAAUUGAGAGGAUCACCUAAUAAGACAACAGGUAGCUAUCGAAAGUUUCAUAUAUGACAUAGGGUUUCAUAUAUACGUGCAUAUAUGUUGGGCAUAUAUACACACACGUUAUGUUAUAAAAUUUCAUAUAUGACAUAGGGUUCAU
RNAcentral lists this long non-coding RNA (787 nucleotides) under Sorghum bicolor (sorghum). RNAcentral's name for it is "long non-coding RNA (SBIC_LNC000262)". The record is from RNAcentral. Lineage: Eukaryota; Viridiplantae; Streptophyta; Magnoliopsida; Poales; Poaceae.